GCUCAGGAUGAACGCUAGCUACAGGCUUAACACAUGCAAGUCGAGGGGAAACGACAUCGAAAGCUUGCUUUUGAUGGGCGUCGACCGGCGCACGGGUGAGUAACGCGUAUCCAACCUGCCCAUCACUUGGGGAUAACCUUGCGAAAGUAAGACUAAUACCCAAUGACGUCUCUAGAAGACAUCUGAAGGAGAUUAAAGAUUUAUCGGUGAUGGAUGGGGAUGCGUCUGAUUAGCUUGUUGGCGGGGUAACGGCCCACCAAGGCGACGAUCAGUAGGGGUUCUGAGAGGAAGGUCCCCCACAUUGGAACUGAGACACGGUCCAAACUCCUACGGGAGGCAGCAGUGAGGAAUAUUGGUCAAUGGGCGAGAGCCUGAACCAGCCAAGUAGCGUGCAGGAUGACGGCCCUAUGGGUUGUAAACUGCUUUUAUAAGGGAAUAAAGUGAGUCUCGUGAGACUUUUUGCAUGUACCUUAUGAAUAAGGACCGGCUAAUUCCGUGCCAGCAGCCGCGGUAAUACGGAAGGUCCGGGCGUUAUCCGGAUUUAUUGGGUUUAAAGGGAGCGUAGGCCGGAGAUUAAGCGUGUUGUGAAAUGUAGACGCUCAACGUCUGCACUGCAGCGCGAACUGGUUUCCUUGAGUACGCACAAAGUGGGCGGAAUUCGUGGUGUAGCGGUGAAAUGCUUAGAUAUCACGAAGAACUCCGAUUGCGAAGGCAGCUCACUGGAGCGCAACUGACGCUGAAGCUCGAAAGUGCGGGUAUCGAACAGGAUUAGAUACCCUGGUAGUCCGCACGGUAAACGAUGGAUGCCCGCUGUUGGUCUGAAUAGGUCAGCGGCCAAGCGAAAGCAUUAAGCAUCCCACCUGGGGAGUACGCCGGCAA
Molecule: ribosomal RNA, 879 nt
Filed under: uncultured bacterium
Lineage: Bacteria
Description: bacterial SSU rRNA
Rfam family: Bacterial small subunit ribosomal RNA
Source: RNAcentral